CGGAGAUCUUUGUGGGCUAUACUCGGCCUUGUCUCAGGAUGGGCCUGAGCCCUAGGACCAUGCCUCAGGACUACCUGGCCUGAUGACUCCUUGCUGUCCCCAUUCCACCUGGCCGUGCUGCUACUCCAGUUUAAACUGUUCUGCCUGCGGCUAUGGAACCCUGACCUGUUCACCGGACAUGCUACCUGUCCCAGACCUGCUGUUUUCAACUCUCUAGAGACAGCAGGAGCGGUAGAUAUACUCUGAAUGAUCGGCUAUUAAAAGCCAACUGACAUUUACUCCUGAGGUGCUGACCUGUUGCAACCUCGACAACCACUGUGAUUAUUAUUAUUUGACCCUGCUGGUCAUCUAUGAACAUUUGAACAUCUUGGCCAUGUUCUGUUAUAAUCUCCACCCGGCACAGCCAGAAGAGGACUAGCCACCCCUCAUAGCCUGGUUCCUCUCUAGGUUUCUUCCUAGGUUCUGGCCUUUCUAGGGAGUUUUUCCUAGCCACCGUGCUUCUACACCUGCAUUGUUUGCUGUUUGGGGUUUUAGGCUGGGUUUCUGUACAGCACUUUGAGAUAUCAGCUGAUGUAAGAAGGGCUUUAUAAAUACAUUUGAUAUGAUUUUGAUUUGACUCGGUACUGGUAGCCGGUGUUGAUAGCCAAGUAACGUUACUCAUUGUGUAUUUAUUUCUUGUGUUAUUAUUUUUCUAUUUAUUCUAUUAUUUAAUUUGACAGAGCACAGGAUGAGAUUUAUUCCUAAAAAACAGGGACAAAACAAGUGUGAGACCCCCUUCCCCCUCCUCAGACCACAUCCCUGUGUCUGAUAUGAAAGGCGAAAAUGACUGACAUUUAUCUCCAUUGUGUUUGAGUGUGUGUGUUUGUAUUACUAUCCUUGUGGGUACGGGAAAUCCCCCAAAGUCCCCACAAGGAUAGUAAAACAAUAAAAAUUCUCCCUUGUCCUCAUGAGGACAAAGGCUAUUUUAAGCUUAGAGGUUAGGUUUAUGGUUGCAAUUAGGGUUAGAAUUAGGGAUAGGUUUAGGGGUUAGUUUAGGGUUAGGGAAAAUCAGAAGUUUUUUAGGUCCCCACAAGGAUAGUAAAACAUAUGCUGUGUGUUUGUGUUUUCCGGGAUGGACAGAGAAACUAUUUCACAUGGACCCCUCUGCAGUCAUUCCAGUAUUUUAAAGAGCAGAUCAGCCGUUCUGGUUAUGUUACCAUUUUCCCUGCUAUCGUUUAUGUGCUGGAGUCACAGUCAGUUAUCUUGACUAAUGGUCACAGCCAGUGGCGACACGUCAUUCAGCCCAUCCUGUUUUUUUUAUUUGUUUUUUUUCAUACUUCGUUUUUAUUGUAGGAACACAAAUAAAGUAAAAUAAAAGAACUACAAAAAAGAUCUGGCAGUUAUAGUGCACAUCAUACCUUCAUCAUAUUAGUUACAUUGACAUCUUUGAAUUAGACCUUUUCCAAGUAGUUCCCAGUAUUCCUGACCUCUCUCCUCUUGUGUUCUUAAAGCAAAGGUCAUACGCUCCAUGUGGGUGAAAGAUUACAGCCUUGUCUUGCCCCUCGCUCUAAUUUUAUCGUUCGUGACAAAUGUCCAUUUAUCUUUAUUCUGG
Molecule: long non-coding RNA, 1591 nt
Filed under: Salmo salar (Atlantic salmon)
Lineage: Eukaryota; Metazoa; Chordata; Actinopteri; Salmoniformes; Salmonidae
Description: lncRNA (ENSSSAG00000096018.1)
Source: RNAcentral